Molecule: ribosomal RNA, 980 nt
Filed under: Acinetobacter baumannii
Lineage: Bacteria; Pseudomonadati; Pseudomonadota; Gammaproteobacteria; Moraxellales; Moraxellaceae
Description: bacterial SSU rRNA
Source: RNAcentral
UGGCUCAGAUUGAACGCUGGCGGCAGGCUUAACACAUGCAAGUCGAGCGGGGGAAGGUAGCUUGCUACUGGACCUAGCGGCGGACGGGUGAGUAAUGCUUAGGAAUCYGCCUAUUAGUGGGGGACAACAUCUCGAAAGGGAUGCUAAUACCGCAUACGUCCUACGGGAGAAAGCAGGGGAUCUUCGGACCUUGCGCUAAUAGAUGAGCCUAAGUCGGAUUAGCUAGUUGGUGGGGUAAAGGCCUACCAAGGCGACGAUCUGUAGCGGGUCUGAGAGGAUGAUCCGCCACACUGGGACUGAGACACGGCCCAGACUCCUACGGGAGGCAGCAGUGGGGAAUAUUGGACAAUGGGGGGAACCCUGAUCCAGCCAUGCCGCGUGUGUGAAGAAGGCCUUAUGGUUGUAAAGCACUUUAAGCGAGGAGGAGGCUACUUUAGUUAAUACCUAGAGAUAGUGGACGUUACUCGCAGAAUAAGCACCGGCUAACUCUGUGCCAGCAGCCGCGGUAAUACAGAGGGUGCGAGCGUUAAUCGGAUUUACUGGGCGUAAAGCGUGCGUAGGCGGCUUAUUAAGUCGGAUGUGAAAUCCCCGAGCUUAACUUGGGAAUUGCAUUCGAUACUGGUGAGCUAGAGUAUGGGAGAGGAUGGUAGAAUUCCAGGUGUAGCGGUGAAAUGCGUAGAGAUCUGGAGGAAUACCGAUGGCGAAGGCAGCCAUCUGGCCUAAUACUGACGCUGAGGUACGAAAGCAUGGGGAGCAAACAGGAUUAGAUACCCUGGUAGUCCAUGCCGUAAACGAUGUCUACUAGCCGUUGGGGCCUUUGAGGCUUUAGUGGCGCAGCUAACGCGAUAAGUAGACCGCCUGGGGAGUACGGUCGCAAGACUAAAACUCAAAUGAAUUGACGGGGGCCCGCACAAGCGGUGGAGCAUGUGGUUUAAUUCGAUGCAAACGCGAAGAACCUUACCUGGCCUUGACAUACUAGA